UUGAAGUCUCGCCGGAGUCUCGCCGGCCGGUCGCCGGACCGCCGCCGCCGCCACCGUGCACGGUGGCCGGAAAAUUUAACCUUCACCAAAAUUGACAAACAAUACAUCAUUUUAUUCGUUUCGAUGAGAGGAUCACUAAUAUGUGUUCAAAUCAAGGUGGGUGUGAACCAGUUGGCCGGAAAUUGGGCGGAAAGGUUCGGUGAUACCCAUUUUGGGUUUUCCGAUUCCGGCUAUUACAGUCGACGAGGAGGCCAUCAAAUGAAAGAGGAAGAAGAGAGGAGUCAUUUGGUACUCACCUUGUGUCCAAGGCUUGCCUGAAACGGCGUGAAUCGCCGGAAAAAGGUGUCCAAAACUUCAAGCUCUUCCCCUUCAAAAUAGACACAAUUUCAGUUCAAAUCUAAGCUAUAAUCUUCUUUCUCGCGUUGAGUAGAUAUUUUUAGAGUAUUCAUUUGCCGAAUUUGGUGGCCGGAGGAAGGAGAUCGAAGGAGAGGAAGGAGGAGGAGGAGGAGGUGACGCAACUGGAGAAGGAGAAGGAAUAAACGAAGAGAAAGAGAAAGAAAAAAGAAAAGAAAAGAAAUGGGCCGGUCCGGUUCGAUUCGAACCGGUUCGGUCCGAUUCAGUGAUUUAGUCUCAUUCCGUUUGGUUUUUGAGUUUUC
Molecule: long non-coding RNA, 656 nt
Filed under: Jatropha curcas
Lineage: Eukaryota; Viridiplantae; Streptophyta; Magnoliopsida; Malpighiales; Euphorbiaceae
Description: long non-coding RNA (JCUR_LNC001721)
Source: RNAcentral